AUGGCUCACGGGCCCAGCCGCUCCACGAACCUGCAUCCCCUGCAUCGGCAGGUGGACUCUCAACCACUGCGCCACCAGGGAAGUUCUGACUGGGACUAUUAAUGAAGGGAUAGACAAGUCAUAGGUGAUUGGAGGAUGGUGUGAGAAGUGCUGUGAUGGCAGAGAUACUGAGGGCACAGAAGACAGCGGGCCAUAAUCCUACUUGGGGUGGCCAUGGCAGGGCUACCAGAGGCUAUAGCCGAGUCUGGGGAGGAUUCCAGCAGAGGGGACCAGAAGAGGCUCAGUGGUGAGAGAGAGCUGGCCUGUUAGGAGGAAUGAAUGGCAGGCCAAUAUACUGCCCACAGUGUCAAGUGUAAGAGGAGGCUCAGAGCAGUGCAAGGAGAGAGCAUGUGGGUCCUGGCAGGCCAGGGAAGGGUAUGGACUUGACCUUGGGAAGUGGGGAGCCAUUGAGGAUUCAUGAGGAAAGACUCUGUCUACUGUUUUUGUGUUCCAAAAGCCAAGGUGAUAGCCAGUAGCUCUGCACUAUUUUUGCCAUCUUUGGGCCUCACAGCAGAGCAGGCCAUAGCUAGGGUUAAGUAGGCACCAGUGUUGGUUACUCUUUGGUUCUGCCACUCGGGGGAUCUGAAGGCCUCCCUCCACUCCAGAAAUCCCCCACUACCACAACCACCACCAGGAUGCUUUCAGCCCCAGAGACCAUUCUUUUUUCACAUCAAGGAGUUCGUUCGUUCAUGCAUUCAUGAACUCUGGCUGCCUGAAGUGGCCCACGGCUCCUGCACGGCCCAGUGCUAUGGGAGAGGAGGGUCACAUUCCAAGCUGCGUCCUGCCUGGCUUGCCUCGCCUUGCAGAGCCAAACCCCGGUGCACAUGGGAGCCUCUCUGUGCACCCGGCAUGGAAUUUUCCUCUCAGAGGCUGACCCAGUUCCUUGCUGCUAUUCAGUCACCCUGGCUGAGCCUGUGGAAUUCCAUAAAGGUUAGACAUUAGAGAGGAGUCCUAAUGUUACAAGGAGCCUUCCUGCCCCCUACCUGAAUUGCACCAGGGUUAGGCUGGGCCACUUGCUCACCUCUGGGGAUCUUAAGCUCCCUUCCCUGGGGCCAAGGCUCCCUCACCCCCCAAGGUACACUGAGGGCCUUCUCUCUCCUUCCUGACAAAGCUGCAUGUCCCAGGCUGCCACGAGUGCCAUGGUGCAGGCUCCUCUCCUGAAGGGAUGUCUGUCACCUGAUGUCCUGGCCCAUGACAGUGGCCUGCACCUACCCUGACAUCACAGUGUCCAACAACUAAGAAAAUUGGGGACAUGUAAGGGAUUUCUACCUUCUGAAAAUUAUAGUACCAGGUCUAGUCCAUAAACAGUAAAUUAUACAGGCAUCAAUAAAUAAGUUUACAUCUUACACCUGACAGUUCUCAGGUCAUUCACACUUUGGUAGUGAUUUGCCUUCAGACACGUGAUCUCUUCCCAGAGAAGACAUUUAAUGACAGCUCCUCCCCAUUCCACCCCUCACCAAGGCCUUUAUUUAUUCUCAUCAUGUUCUAGGUUAUGCUGUAGUUACUCCUGAAUGGGGCUUAUCUUCCCUAGUAGGUUAUCAACUUCCCAAGGGCUGGAACCACACCACAGAGAUCAGUGUCUACCCAGCACCAGGCAGGAAGAUUCAGGGUGGAAGGAAAGCAUCUUACCAUAUUCCCUAGGGGUGAAGACAAAUACAGUCUUCUUGUACUAAAGGCCGGCACUAAUGAGCGAAGUGGAGUGCUUACUCUGUAUGAAGUGGUGACUGCUGAUAAUAAGGAUGGUGGUGUGAUUGUCAACAGUUAAGGAGUGCUUUACUGCUGGACAGGCACUGUGAAAA
This is a long non-coding RNA of Aethalodelphis obliquidens (Pacific white-sided dolphin), 1838 nucleotides long. RefSeq lists it as uncharacterized. The transcript has 2 exons. The record is from RefSeq and is a predicted model, not a curated record. NCBI's taxonomy places the organism in Eukaryota, Metazoa, Chordata, Mammalia, Artiodactyla, Delphinidae.